GCCAUUGUAGCUUAGAGGUUUGAGCAUUAGACUAAAACUCUGAAGACCAGGGUUUGAAUCCAUGCUCAGCCA
Molecule: non-coding RNA, 72 nt
Organism: Phrynosoma platyrhinos (Desert horned lizard)
Lineage: Eukaryota; Metazoa; Chordata; Lepidosauria; Squamata; Phrynosomatidae
Source: the annotation of a GenBank genome assembly